Blastosporella zonata is the source of this 99-nucleotide non-coding RNA. NCBI's taxonomy places the organism in Eukaryota, Fungi, Basidiomycota, Agaricomycetes, Agaricales, Lyophyllaceae. The record is from the annotation of a GenBank genome assembly.
GCCCGCCUAGCUCAAUUGGCCAGAGCGUCAGACUUUUACGAAGGUUCGAACUUCCACGAGUACAUCUGAAGGCUGCGAGUUCGACCCUCGCGGUGGGCU